CUUCCUUCUCCUUGCGCUUCCUUUUGGCUAAGAUCAAGUGUAGCGUCUGUUCUUCUCAGUUUAAUAUCUUGAUAUGUUCUCUAUUUGAAUGCAGACAUCAU
Small nuclear RNA from Podarcis muralis (Common wall lizard), 101 nucleotides. Its record names the gene U2. It matches the Rfam family "U2 spliceosomal RNA". From Rfam's summary of the family: U2 is a small nuclear RNA (snRNA) component of the spliceosome (involved in pre-mRNA splicing). Complementary binding between U2 snRNA (in an area lying towards the 5' end but 3' to hairpin I) and the branchpoint sequence (BPS) of the intron results the bulging out of an unpaired adenosine, on the BPS, which initiates a nucleophilic attack at the intronic 5' splice site, thus starting the first of two transesterification reactions that mediate splicing. The record is from Ensembl. Lineage: Eukaryota; Metazoa; Chordata; Lepidosauria; Squamata; Lacertidae.